RNAcentral lists this long non-coding RNA (318 nucleotides) under Elaeis guineensis (African oil palm). RNAcentral describes it as "long non-coding RNA (EGUI_LNC032213)". Lineage: Eukaryota; Viridiplantae; Streptophyta; Magnoliopsida; Arecales; Arecaceae. The record is from RNAcentral.
CCCACAAGAUAACUCUAACAUAUAUGUCCCUACAGCCUCUACCUGGAUGGACUCUCCUCCAGCAUCGUAGAGCUCGAAGUCACCUUUUUUCAGCACUCUAAUAUUCUGCAACCGAUGCAAUGACUUGCUUAUAUGAGAACCGCAGGCGGUAUCCAAUACCUAAGAGUCUGAAUUGAAAGAGCUUAAUGACAGAAUUGUAUGUAUCUCAUAUAUAUCUUUUGGUGCGUCGCUUGCACCAGCCUUUACAGUUGCAAGAUAUAACUUGUAAUUCUUUUUUCAGCGUCCUGUCUUGCUGCAGUGAAAGCAAGUACCCUGUCC